UCAUACGGAGGAUCCAAGCGUUAUCCGGAAUUACUGGGCGUAAAGAGUUGCGUAGGUGGCAAGGUAAGCGAAGUAUGAAAUCUUGUGGCUCAACCAUGAGACUAUGCUUUGAACUGCCUAGCUAGAGCACGGAAGAGGUAGCUGGAAUUCCCAGUGUAGGAGUGAAAUCCGUAGAUAUUGGGAGGAACACCGAUGGCGUAGGCAGGCUACUAGUCCGUUGCUGACACUAAGGCACGAAAGCGUGGGGAGCGAACGGGAUUAGAUACCCCGGUAGUCCACGCCGUAAACGAUGGAUGCUAGCUGUUAAAAGUAUCGACCCUUUUAGUAGCGAAGCUAACGCGUUAAGCAUCCCGCCUGGGGAGUACGGUCGCAAGAUUA
RNAcentral lists this ribosomal RNA (378 nucleotides) under uncultured bacterium. Its description in RNAcentral is "bacterial SSU rRNA". It matches the Rfam family "Bacterial small subunit ribosomal RNA", at positions 521 to 896 of the family's 1533-position model. The record is from RNAcentral.